UACGUAGGGUCCGAGCGUUGUCCGGAAUUAUUGGGCGUAAAGAGCUCGUAGGCGGUGUGUCGCGUCGGCCGUGAAAACCUGCAGCUUAACUGUGGGCUUGCGGUCGAUACGGGCAUCACUGGAGUUCGGCAGGGGAGACUGGAAUUCCCGGUGUAGCGGUGAAAUGCGCAGAUAUCGGGAGGAACACCGGUGGCGAAGGCGGGUCUCUGGGCCGAUACUGACGCUGAGGAGCGAAAGCGUGGGGAGCGAACAGG
This 254-nucleotide ribosomal RNA is filed under the name uncultured bacterium. RNAcentral's name for it is "partial 16S ribosomal RNA". It matches the Rfam family "Bacterial small subunit ribosomal RNA", at positions 524 to 776 of the family's 1533-position model. The record is from RNAcentral.